This 429-nucleotide ribosomal RNA is filed under the name Chloroflexota bacterium. Its description in RNAcentral is "Chloroflexi bacterium partial 16S ribosomal RNA". It matches the Rfam family "Bacterial small subunit ribosomal RNA", at positions 355 to 776 of the family's 1533-position model. Lineage: Bacteria; Bacillati; Chloroflexota. The record is from RNAcentral.
UGGGGAAUAUUGCACAAUGGGCGCAAGCCUGAUGCAGCCAUGCCGCGUGUAUGAAGAAGGCCUUCGGGUUGUAAAGUACUUUCAGUCGGGAGGAAGGUGUCAAGGUUAAUAACCUUGGCAAUUGACGUGACCGACAGAAGAAGCACCGGCUAACUCCGUGCCAGCAGCCGCGGUAAUACGGAGGGUGCAAGCGUUAAUCGGAAUUACUGGGCGUAAAGCGCACGCAGGCGGUUUGUUAAGUCAGAUGUGAAAUCCCCGGGCUCAACCUGGGAACUGCAUCUGAUACUGGCAAGCUUGAGUCUCGUAGAGGGGGGUAGAAUUCCAGGUGUAGCGGUGAAAUGCGUAGAGAUCUGGAGGAAUACCGGUGGCGAAGGCGGCCCCCUGGACGAAGACUGACGCUCAGGUGCGAAAGCGUGGGGAGCAAACAGG